CACCACUCUAGCAAGGGUGGGACGGAAGAUGUCGCUCAGGUAGAGAUAAGGGGAAGUCUUGCUGAAAAAAAAGAAAAUCGAAGAUGGAGUCUGCUUCGAUCGCUACUACCUCACCGGUUACUGCUCCUUCUAUUGUCAUGAAGGAAAUAAGGGGCUCUCCUCCUUGGGGGAUGGCAUCGCAUGGGAAGCCUUUGUUUUUUCAACUUCACCACCAAAAACCUUAACUGUUGAUCCCAAUCGAUCGUAGAGCCAAGUUGUUCAAGGAC
RNAcentral lists this long non-coding RNA (266 nucleotides) under Elaeis guineensis (African oil palm). Its description in RNAcentral is "long non-coding RNA (EGUI_LNC017425)". The record is from RNAcentral. Lineage: Eukaryota; Viridiplantae; Streptophyta; Magnoliopsida; Arecales; Arecaceae.